GUACAAAUAGUUUAAGUAAAAAAUAUUGAUUUGUGGUAUCAAAGAUUUAAUAAAUUUAAUUUAUACU
Molecule: transfer RNA, 67 nt
Filed under: Rhynchothorax sp. JZ-2022
Lineage: Eukaryota; Metazoa; Arthropoda; Pycnogonida; Pantopoda; Tanystylidae
Description: tRNA-His
Source: RNAcentral